Long non-coding RNA from Betta splendens (Siamese fighting fish), 4685 nucleotides. RefSeq lists it as uncharacterized. Lineage: Eukaryota; Metazoa; Chordata; Actinopteri; Anabantiformes; Osphronemidae. The record is from RefSeq and is a predicted model, not a curated record. The transcript is spliced from 3 exons.
UUUGUUCAUUGUUCUCAUUCAUCGUUUACAGCUCAGGCUCUGUAGUGAGCAGCAAGCACUACAGUUCUUUUGUGAUUCAUUGGAUCUUUAGUUCAAUCAUUUGUCACGUGACAACUGUUGGGGGACCUCAUGUGUAUCAUCUGUUAUUAACAGAAUUAUUAUUAAAGUUCCACAUGCUCAAACAAAGAAGGUUUUGCCGCCUGUAUGUAUUAUCCUUCUGAUAGGAGUGAGUGGAAACAAAGAUUUUAAAUCUGAGUGCCAAAACCAGGCGCCAGGCUGGGGAACCAUACCUGGCACCGCGCUGAGACGUCCGAACUUCCCCGCUGAUACAAACGACAAACGGAGGAGGAACUUGGACGUCAGCCAUCCUGUUUGGACCAAACCAAAUACCAACCAAAUAGGACGGGCGUGACCCAAAACAUGGUUAUUAAAGCUGCCGUGACCAAAGACUCAUCCCUUGUUCUCUCCGACCCUCGUCCUCUCGCCUUCAAGUCCACUGCAGACCUUUCUUCUUUCCAUCCACCUGGAGUCUCCCUCUGCCCGGCACGCCUGAAGCCUCCACCGCAGCCAGCAGCUGAACCAACGUGGACAUCGUCACGGAGAACGGGCCUGAUCACCCAUCUACUUCUAGCCACCUGGCAGAAAACCGCCAGCUUGACCGCCUCACCCGCUGCUGUCUCAGGGAGGCACAUCCCAGUUGCCCACAUGCAAGGAGGCUGUCAAACAGAGAAAUCACUGCAGACUGUUGGUACACGGACAUCUGUUGCCCAGCUCAGGAGUAAAGUACCUUUUUGUUUUGAUGAGGUGAUGGUGAGGACAGCCACAGCUUCCAUCUUGUAGAGGACUGCUUCUGCUCAGUCUUCCAAAUAGUGAUGAGAACAAGGAUCACCACAUCUCCGUUUUCCCUACUUUCAUGCAUUUCGUCUGCAAGGCCCUGCAAAAGCUUCUGUCCUCAAACCCCCAGACUUCUUAAUUAACUCAGUAACCUAUACAUUGCACAUUGGAGUGUGAAGGUAACAGUUUGUUCUAGCUUUGAAGUAGUGGUGCAUUUUUUUGGUUGACAAUAAAGUUGGCUUUAACUAUUACGUAUUUCACUGAACUCUGUUUCUGAAGGGAAAACACUUUUAUUCAGGAAAUUGAAAUUACAUGUUUUUCUCUUUCUAAUAUGGUAAGCUAUAAAGUUGAAGUGGCCAUAAAUAAAAAGCAUAUAAAUUAUAUAUAAAUUAAAAAAAAUCUUAAUGAGUAUUGCACUCACAAAAAAACACAUGUUUACUCAAAUAGUAAAGGAGUUAUUUCACAAGUGGUCUACAUCCAUCAUACAAUGAGUGUUUUAGUGUUUUAUGCAUCAGGAAACUGCCUUCAUCUACAACCCAAGCAUGGGUUGUAUGUGAAGUGAUGGCAACUCCGAUUCUUCACCCCAGGAAUCCUCAGCAGCCUCUGUAGACUAGAUACCUGUAACAACUUCAGAUAGAAAGACAUAUUACUGUCAGAUUUAUCAAGAUUGAUCAAAAAAUAUAAUUAAAAGCAGUAAAAAUACAUCUGGUCAAUAUAUAUGCAUGCAGUGAUUGCUCUGAAUAUUAAUGUACAUUUUAAAAAUAAAAUUAUUUCAGAGCAGCAGCACAAGUAAGACUAAAACUGUGUAAAAUGUAUUUAUAUUAUUUCAGCUAUGCUCUCAAACUUUUAUUUAUUUGUAUAAUGUAAGCUAAAGUAGUGUUUUCUAUUAACGAGAGUUUUCCAGGUAAGUCGUGUUGUGAAUAUUCAAGCUGCAAAGGCCAUUUAGCAUACGCAUUAGCAACUGCUAGCCGCUUUGCAAAUUACAUAAAUCAAAUAAAUUGAAGUAAAUGCGACAUUACCAAUGAGACGAAUCUUGCAUCAGCCGAAAUGUGGUGACUUCAACAGCCUCCUCUUCAGCUUCAGGGUCAGAUUCGGGAUCGUAGACGUAUGGUUCUACUACGCUACGAACCAGCUGGCUAAUGUCGUGCAGUCCUGUAGCGGGUCUUCUUCUGCUGUGGAGGAUUGCGGUGGAAUGCAUUCUCAAUGUCGCACUACUGUCAACUACUGUAUAGUAUCCUAACCGUGCGGUGGCUCGUAUCCAUGAAGCCGAUUUAAAAAAAAAAAAAAAAAAAAACAACAAAAAAGGUAUGCGCUUCCGCACAGAGGUGUGGUGAGCAGCUUCGCUUGCGACACGCCCAGAAAACACAGCGUUUGCUGAUGGGGAGUGAAAACCACACAUUGACAGGGGCAGUGUGGACGAUCUAAAGGGUUUUAUGGGAUGGAAAUUUACAGAGACCUUACUGACACAUUGAAGUCCAAUAUCGUUUAGAGUGAAAAGCUGUAUGAUCAGGGAGCUUUAAGACCCAUUACUGUAUCUUAAACAUGGUGAUAGUUACAUCAUGAACAUGACAAAGUGCACAAUUUUAUAGCUGUAAAGAUUUUUUUACCCAUAACAAUAAAACAAAUGUGUAUGUGGACCCAGACAUACCUCUACUUAUUUUGUAUUGCAAUCCCAGCUGACAUUGAACAAAAGGCAGAGUACUUACAAGGCAAGUUGACGUUCUAUCACAAGGCGGACAGCAAUAUUUUAAGUUUAAUCUUCAGAGUAUGGAUAGAACCUGCUCAGUCCACACAGAAAGGUCCCUGGGGAUUUUCUAGCUGUGAGGUGGCAGCUCUAACUUUUGUAAAGUCUUUGACUGGUUAGAGUGAAAAUUAAUUCUGCUUGAUUAGUGCAUUUUGGUGCAUUCUCGUGUAUUGUCAUUAUAAUAUGAACCCGAAGUGCAGAGCACAGAUUACAGCCGCUACGGUGUUCAGACCUGCCUGUCUGCCACCACAAAAAUCACUCUUCUAUCUUAGCUUUCUUCAGGAGUUUUAGCAGUAAAACUCAUACUGUACUGUAAAAGUCCCCUGGCUGUUGCUUUGCUACAGUUGAUGUUUCAGUUUUUUUAUUCUUAUGGAGAUAAAAAUUAAUGACAUUUUCCUAAUAUGACUCACUCAUGGAAAGAGGAACUGAUUAUGAAGUGGAACAAAGGCCAUCCUCCUUGUGGCAGGAAUGAUCACGUACGCUUCUCAUGUCAAGUACAUAGCUCAAGGGAGGAUGAGCUAAAGAGACAAAGACUAAUAAUUAUAAAACCCCUGUCUGUUAACUUCAGUAUUCUGGACAAACAUGCUCGGUGUACUGCUGUUCCACUGUCGUCACUUGUGCUUGUCCAAAAAAAGCAGCACAGAAACUAUAUAUCUGUGAUUCUCUUGCUGCCUGUUAUUGUAUUAAUUUGGCUGCUGCCAGUUAUUUGGUGUGUGUAAUGGUCCCCAGUCAGCUGUCUCACAGUCAAUAGAUUCUCUGCUUUCUGUAAUUUGUUAGUCCUCAUUACUAGCUGUACCGAUAAAUUAGACAUACUUUCAGAGAAAAAGCCCACACCUGGUAAAUAAUACUCUGGACCCAUACGCAAGAGAGAGACAAAGUAUCUACAGAAGGAAUAUAUGAGAAUCGAUCGACCCUCGUGGCCAUGUCUGAUCUUGACAAUAGCAUGCUAUUGAUGUGCUGGAAUUGCUUUUGAAGGCGAACAGAUUGAUAUAAUGGUGGGGUGUUGGCCCUUAAGGGCUGGGCUGCCAGGGCUGAACUCUGAUUGACUGACCUUGGGUCAAUACAGCCAUUUGCAUCAGUCCUCUUUGGUGUUUGUGUUGAGGCCAUUGGACUGGCAGGAGUCCUGUAACAGGGCUUGGAGUUCUUCUCUAAACCAGGUGCCUAAAAUCACUUUCAAGGUUGAGUUUUACUUCUAAUGCCAUUGAUUUUAUGUCUACUGUAGCCACAGGCUGUAUAGAAAAUGCCACUAUUUACUGGCACUAUACAGAAAUAAAGCCACUAUAUUGCAAACUCAGAAGGUGAAAUUGAAGCAGACAGAGUCUGCAAAGUACUGUAUAUUCUGAGGGCUGCAAAUAAGAGAUACCUCUGGCAUUUGUAUGAAAUGAGAGGGGUGUGAUGAGUGAAAAUUCAAUGAAUGUUUAAAACAAAGCUUCAAAGUACAGAAAUUGGUAUUGGGGACAGCCCUAGAGUUUGUACAACCCGUACCCGUAAAUAUCGUCCGUAGGUGUUCAACUGGUGUAAGGCUAGGGAUAAGUGGGCUGGUAGCUCAGUAUGUAGAUCCUUCUCAGACCGAUGCUCUACCAUCCCACUUAGCCCUAUGGUCCCUGAUUCCAUCCCUGCCUUUGGCACUAGUUCCGUCCUUCAGCAAGACACCUGGCUAAGUCAUUUAUUUUAUAGGCAUUUGUCAACAAAACUGAACAUUCAAGAUGAAAACUGUCUGUGAGUAUAAGAGACAAAACAGACACAGCCUUUGUGCUUAGGUCAAGUGCAGAGUGACAACUGGUGUGCUCUUAGUAACAUCUGCUGUUUGUUGUCGUGCUUCUUGUGCUGUUUUCUGACAGUAUAUGUGUACUUUCUUUAAAGAAGUAAGAAAAAGAAAAAUCACACCACAAGAACUAAUAUCUCUAGUGAAAAACACUCAUAGUAGGUGGUCCAGGUUCUUUUUCUCUCUGUGAACAGACAGGAUGAAAGCUCUGACGUUAUAUGCCAGCCUAACCAGAACAGCACUCUGAGGAUUGUCUCCAGCUUUGGGCACAUUACUCUGUCUCAGCUUGUGUUUAACUUUAUUUAUCUCUCUUUGAUGUCACAUCCACUCCUCUCUCAUCUA